AUGUUUCUACUCUAACAUCUGGUUUACAUUCAGCCCCUUGCAAAUCUCAAGAAGAUGUCUUUGUCAAGUUCAUGGUAUUUAAAGAAACUUCCGGAUCUGUCAAAUGCUACAAAUCUCGAAGAAUUGGAUCUGAGAGCUUGCCAGAAUUUAGUAGAGCUUCCUUCCUCCUUUUCUUAUCUGCAUAAGCUAAAGUAUUUGAAUAUGAUGGGAUGCAGAAGGCUAAAAGAAGUUCCACCUCAUAUCAACUUGAAGUCUCUUGAAUUGGUCAACAUGUAUGGAUGCUCAAGAUUAAAAAGCUUUCCAGAUAUUUCUACAAACAUCAGUUCACUCGACAUAUCAUACACUGAUGUGGAAGAACUACCUGAAUCAAUGACGAUGUGGUCUCGCCUACGUACUCUCGAAAUAUACAAAAGUAGAAACCUCAAGAUAGUAACACAUGUGCCCCUAAACCUAACAUAUCUAGACCUCAGCGAGACUAGAAUUGAGAAGAUUCCAGAUGACAUCAAAAAUGUUCAUGGGCUGCAAAUUUUAUUUCUAGGUGGCUGCAGAAAACUCGCAUCAUUGCCAGAGCUUCCUGGUUCGCUCUUGUACUUAUCAGCAAACGAGUGUGAAUCACUUGAGAGCGUAUCUUGCCCUUUUAAUACUUCAUACAUGGAACUCAGCUUCACCAACUGCUUCAAACUAAACCAAGAAGCACGCAGAGGAAUUAUUCAACAAUCAUUUUCUCAUGGGUGGGCAUCCUUACCUGGAAGAGAGUUGCCCACUGACUUAUACCACCGAUCUACCGGACAUUCCAUCACCGUUCGUCUCGAGGGCAAGACUCCUUUUUCUGCAUUCUUUGGAUUUAAGGUUUUCCUCGUGAUUUCCCCUAACCAUGAUGCUGAAGAAACUAGCAAUUCUCCCUUAUUUUGUCCUCGCAUUGGCAAAAUCGGUUGCUCCGAUGACGAAACACCUAUUUAUAUUAUCCCCAAACCUCGAGCAGAACAUCUAGUUAUGUUUCACUCUGACUUGCAUAACAAGGAAAAAUGUCAUGAAGUAGGCAACGAGAUACUGUUUGAAUUCAGCAACAUAUCCGACACCUAUGAGAUUAUUGAGUGUGGUGUCAGAUUCUAUACAGAUGAACAGGUGAAAUCAGUGAAAGGAGAAAUGAAUAUGAAAUAGACCAAGUUUGUGAAGAUGAAAACGAUUGGAGCUAUGAGUUUGGACCCGUGGAAGCAUUGGAAUGCUCUAAAAAUAAUGGACAUAAUGAUAGCCUAAUCUGUACUUCGAACGAAGACAAGAUCGAAGCCAACAAAUACACAGAUUGUUGGAGUUGGCUCAUCAUCUGUUUUGAUGUCUCCCAUAUUGUGAGAAGCAUCGGAAGUUUAGUUUGGGGAGGAAGAUGAGAGAAGCAAGAAGGAGAAUAUCAAAGUGGAGAAGUCGAACGAAUUUGCAAGUGAGGAAAGAAUAUCUGUUUA
Molecule: small RNA, 1457 nt
Filed under: Arabidopsis thaliana (thale cress)
Lineage: Eukaryota; Viridiplantae; Streptophyta; Magnoliopsida; Brassicales; Brassicaceae
Description: ATSL283820
Source: RNAcentral